This 253-nucleotide ribosomal RNA is filed under the name uncultured bacterium. RNAcentral describes it as "partial 16S ribosomal RNA". It matches the Rfam family "Bacterial small subunit ribosomal RNA", at positions 524 to 776 of the family's 1533-position model. The record is from RNAcentral.
UACGUAGGGUGCAAGCGUUAAUCGGAAUUACUGGGCGUAAAGCGUGCGCAGGCGGCUUUGCAAGACAGAUGUGAAAUCCCCGGGCUCAACCUGGGAACUGCCUUUGUGACUGCAUGGCUAGAGUACGGUAGAGGGGGAUGGAAUUCCGCGUGUAGCAGUGAAAUGCGUAGAUAUGCGGAGGAACACCGAUGGCGAAGGCAAUCCCCUGGACCUGUACUGACGCUCAUGCACGAAAGCGUGGGGAGCAAACAGG